UACGAAGGGGGCUAGCGUUGUUCGGAAUUACUGGGCGUAAAGCGCGUGUAGGCGGGUUUUUAAGUCAGGGGUGAAAUGCCAGGGCUCAACCUUGGAACUGCCUUUGAUACUGGAGACCUUGAGUCCGGGAGAGGUGAGUGGAAUUGCGAGUGUAGAGGUGAAAUUCGUAGAUAUUCGCAAGAACACCAGUGGCGAAGGCGGCUCACUGGCCCGGAACUGACGCUGAGACGCGAAAGCGUGGGGAGCAAACAGG
RNAcentral lists this ribosomal RNA (253 nucleotides) under uncultured bacterium. RNAcentral describes it as "partial 16S ribosomal RNA". It matches the Rfam family "Bacterial small subunit ribosomal RNA", at positions 524 to 776 of the family's 1533-position model. The record is from RNAcentral.